RNAcentral lists this ribosomal RNA (478 nucleotides) under uncultured bacterium. Its description in RNAcentral is "bacterial SSU rRNA". It matches the Rfam family "Bacterial small subunit ribosomal RNA", at positions 364 to 832 of the family's 1533-position model. The record is from RNAcentral.
UUUCGCAAUGCCCGAAAGGGUGACGAAGCGACGCCGCGUGUGGGAAGAAGGCCUUCGGGUUGUAAACCACUGUCGGGAGUUAAGAAAGGCGGGAGAGUGAAUAGCUUUCCUGUUUUGACGAAAGCUCCGGAGGAAGCCACGGCUAACUCUGUGCCAGCAGCCGCGGUAAUACAGAGGUGGCAAGCGUUGUUCGGAAUUAUUGGGCGUAAAGGGCACGUAGGCGGCCCUGCAAGUCAGUUGUGAAAUCCUUCCGCUUAACGGAAGAACGGCAGGUGAUACUACAGGGCUAGAGUGCGGUAGGGGAGAGCGGGACUUCUGGUGGAGCGGUGAAAUGCGUAGAUAUCAGAAGGAACACCGGCGGCGAAAGCGGCUCUCUGGUCCGUAACUGACGCUGAGGUGCGAAAGCUAGGGGAGCAAACGGGAUUAGAUACCCCGGUAGUCCUAGCCGUAAACGAUGGGCACUAAGUAGAGGGGUUUU